GUAGCUCAGUUGGUAGAGUACUAGAUUGUGGCUCUGGUUGUCACGGGUUCAAGCCCCGUUAUUCACCC
This 68-nucleotide transfer RNA is filed under the name SAR324 cluster bacterium. RNAcentral describes it as "tRNA-His". It matches the Rfam family "tRNA". Rfam says of the family: Transfer RNA (tRNA) molecules are approximately 80 nucleotides in length. Lineage: Bacteria; Deltaproteobacteria. The record is from RNAcentral.